UACGUAGGUGGCGAGCGUUGUCCGGAUUUACUGGGCGUAAAGAGCGCGCAGGCGGUCGGAUUAGUCGCGUGUGAAAGCCCCCGGCUCAACUGGGGAGGGUCACGCGAUACUGUUCGACUCGAAGGCAGGAGAGGGAAGUGGAAUUCCCGGUGUAGUGGUGAAAUGCGUAGAUAUCGGGAGGAACACCAGUGGCGAAGGCGACUUCCUGGCCUGUUCUUGACGCUGAGGCGCGAAAGCUAGGGUAGCAAACGGG
Molecule: ribosomal RNA, 253 nt
Filed under: uncultured bacterium
Lineage: Bacteria
Description: partial 16S ribosomal RNA
Rfam family: Bacterial small subunit ribosomal RNA
Source: RNAcentral